Molecule: ribosomal RNA, 840 nt
Filed under: uncultured bacterium
Lineage: Bacteria
Description: SSU rRNA
Rfam family: Bacterial small subunit ribosomal RNA
Source: RNAcentral
CAUGCAGNUCGUACGAGAAAUCCUNCUGCUUGGCAGGGGAGAGUAAAGUGGCGCACGGGUGAGUAUCGUGUGGGUAAUCUACCCUUGAAUUCAGGAUAACACUUCGAAAGGGGUGCUAAUACUGGAUAAAAUCCUGAUGGUUUAGAUCAUAAGGAUCAAAGAUAGCCUCUACAUGUAAGCUAUAGUUCAGGGAUGAGCCCGCGUACCAUUAGCUAGUUGGUGGGGUAAGAGCCUACCAAGGCAACGAUGGUUAGCUGGUCUGAGAGGAUGAUCAGCCACACUGGAACUGAAACACGGUCCAGACUCCUACGGGAGGCUGCAGUCGAGGAUCAUUCGCAAUGGGGGCAACCCUGACGAUGCGACGCUGCGUGGAGGACGACGGCCUUCGGGUUGUAAACUCCUGUCAUGAGGGAAGAGGGGAGGGUGAGUAACACUCACACCGACUUGACGGUACCUCAAGAGGAAGCCACGGCUAACUCUGUGCCAGCAGCCGCGGUAAUACAGAGGUGGCGAGCGUUGUUCGGAUUUACUGGGCGUAAAGGGCGCGUAGGCGGCCGUGUGUGUCGGGUGUGAAAUCUCUGGGCUCAACCCAGAAAGUGCGCCCGAAACUGCACGGCUCGAGUUCGGGAGGGGGGAUCGGAAUGCAGGGUGUAGCGGUGAAAUGCGUUGAUAUCCUGCAGAACACCGGUGGCGAAGGCGGAUCCCUGGAACGAAACUGACGCUGAGGCGCGAAAGCAGGGGGAGCAAACAGGAUUAGAUACCCUGGUAGUCCCUGCCUUAAACGGUGCACACUUGACGCGGGGGGGAUUUCACCCCCCCCGUGUCGGAGCUAACGCGUUA